CAUGACUCAGAACUUUACCAGCUGAUGCUACAUUCCCAGGAAAGGUCAGAUGUGGACUGGCAUCUCUCAAAGUUCUUUGUUAGCUUAAGUGUUUCUAGACUGGGCACUUACUGGGAAUAGUCUUUUCUCAAGAAGCUGACCAACUGCUUCACUGAGGCUACUUAAAAUCAAACAAAUUGAGAUAAAAGU
Molecule: long non-coding RNA, 189 nt
Organism: Dermochelys coriacea (leatherback sea turtle)
Lineage: Eukaryota; Metazoa; Chordata; Testudines; Dermochelyidae
Exons: 3
Source: RefSeq, a predicted model, not a curated record